AGAGUUUGAUCCUGGCUCAGGAUGAACGCUGGCGGCGUGCCUAAUACAUGCAAGUCGAGCGAACAGAUAAGGAGCUUGCUCCUUUGAAGUUAGCGGCGGACGGGUGAGUAACACGUGGGUAACCUACCUAUAAGACUGGGAUAACUUCGGGAAACCGGAGCUAAUACCGGAUAACAUUUAGAACCGCAUGGUUCUAAAGUGAAAGAUGGUUUUGCUAUCACUUAUAGAUGGACCCGCGCCGUAUUAGCUAGUUGGUAAGGUAACGGCUUACCAAGGCGACGAUACGUAGCCGACCUGAGAGGGUGAUCGGCCACACUGGAACUGAGACACGGUCCAGACUCCUACGGGAGGCAGCAGUAGGGAAUCUUCCGCAAUGGGCGAAGGCCUGACGGAGCAACGCCGCGUGAGUGAUGAAGGGUUUCGGCUCGUAAAACUCUGUUAUUAGGGAAGAACAAAUGUGUAAGUAACUGUGCACAUCUUGACGGUACCUAAUCAGAAAGCCACGGCUAACUACGUG
Molecule: ribosomal RNA, 517 nt
Filed under: uncultured Staphylococcus sp.
Lineage: Bacteria; Bacillati; Bacillota; Bacilli; Caryophanales; Staphylococcaceae
Description: bacterial SSU rRNA
Rfam family: Bacterial small subunit ribosomal RNA
Source: RNAcentral